This is an RNA transcript of Oryza sativa Japonica Group (Japanese rice), 1171 nucleotides long. It is a transcript of the gene named aquaporin NIP1-2-like, with no coding region annotated. The record is from RefSeq and is a predicted model, not a curated record. NCBI's taxonomy places the organism in Eukaryota, Viridiplantae, Streptophyta, Magnoliopsida, Poales, Poaceae.
GCACGGCUGCCUGCAUCAACACUCAUGUAGAAUAGCUUUGCAAUUGAGUCAGGGAGAGAGAUGGCUGGGAGAGAGGAUGGAGCAGCAGCAGGAGCCAUGGAAGAAGGGCAAGACAGCAAGGAGGUGAAGUGUGAGAAUUCAGAGGAUGGAAGCAACACCAGCAGAAGAUGCCAAGGCAACGACAUGAUCUCCGUCCAAUUCAUGCAGAAGAUUCUUACGGAAAUUCUGGGGACAUAUUUCAUGAUAUUUGCCGGGUGCGGCGCGGUGGUGGUGAACCUGAGCACCGGCGGCGCGGUGAUGUUCCCGGGGAUCUGCGUCGUGUGGGGGCUCGUCGUCACGGUGCUGGUCUACUCCGUCGGCCACAUCUCCGGCACCCACCUCAACCCCGCCGUUACCGUCGCCUUCGCCACGUAAGGAUGCUUCCCGUGGAAGCAGGUGCCAUCGUACGUGGUGGCCCAGGUGCUGGGAUCCACCAUGGCAAGCCUGACGCUGCGCGUGGUGUUCGGCGGCGGCGGCAGCGCGCGGGGGGAGCACUUGUUCUUGGGGACGACGCCGGCGGGGUCGAUGGCGCAGGCGGCGGCGCUGGAGUUCGUCAUCUCUUUCUUCCUCAUGUUCGUCGUCUCCAGCGUCGCCACGGACAACAGAGCAAUCGGUGAAUUGGCUGGGCUCGCUGUCGGUGCGACGGUCGCGGUGAACGUGCUCUUCGCAGGGCCGGUGACGGGGGCGUCGAUGAACCCGGCUCGGAGCCUUGGUCCGGCGAUGGUGGCGGGGAGGUACGGCGGCGUGUGGGUGUACGUGGCGGCGCCGGUGAGCGGGGCGGUGUGCGGCGCGUGGGCCUACAACCUGCUCCGCUUCACCGACAAGACGCUGCGUGUGAUCGCCAAGUCCGGCUCCUUCCUCAGGAGGAGCUCGCGUAGGAGUUAAUGAUAUAGAUAUAGACAGAAUUGAAGCCGUUCUGUCUCUCGAAUUUGCAGCAACAAUCCAAUCACCGUGAUGCUAAUGUUUUUUCAAGCACGUUUGCUAGUGUAAAUGUGUAAUUAACGGCCCAGGCAGGCAGGCGGACCGGCCCAUCCUUCGGUUGAUUUGGGGAAAUUUGGACCGAGGCGGAAUGAAGUACCGGGCCGUGAUGUCAGAGAUGUGGCGCGCCCAAGGUGGGCUGCGCGAUCUUCUA